Molecule: non-coding RNA, 1006 nt
Organism: Orycteropus afer afer
Lineage: Eukaryota; Metazoa; Chordata; Mammalia; Tubulidentata; Orycteropodidae
Source: RefSeq, a predicted model, not a curated record
AUGAUAACAUUCCAAAAUGUUGUGUGUAUAACUUCUAACCUGUCUUUGUUAGUUACCAUUGAUUUGAUUCCAACCCAUGGUGUGAUAGUUGGAGCUGUUCUGGCCACGGCCUCGGGUUACUUCGUCAGCAUUGACGUGCACUCUGAGGAGUGCUUUUUUGAGUGGAUCACCUCGGGCACCAAGAUGGGCCUCAUCUUCAAGGUGGUGGAGGGCAGUUUUCUGUACAUCGACGUAGAGAUCACAGGACCUGAUAAUAAAGGAAUCUAUAAAGGAGACCGAGAGUCCAGUGGAAAUACACAUUUGCUGCUCACAUGGAUGGAACAUACAAGUUUUGUUUUAGCAAUAGAAUGUCCACCAUGACUUCAAAGAUAGUGAUGUUCACCACUGAUAUUGGAGAGGCCCCGAAAGGACAAGACAUGGAAACAGAAGCUCACCAGAACAAGCUAGAAGAAAUGAUUAAAGAGCUAGCAGUGGUCAUGAUAGCUGUAAAGCAUGAACAGGAGUACAUGGAAGUCCGGGAGAGAGUACACAGAGCAAUCAAUGACAACACAAACAGCAGAGUGGUCCUUUGGUCCUUCUUUGAAGCUCUUGUUCUAGUUGCCAUGACAUUGGGACAGAUCUGCUACCUGAAGAGAUUUUUUGAAGUCCGGAGGUUGUUUAAAAAGCCUUUUUCUGAUGAUCCCAAACUCGUAACUCACUGUUUACCAAAUAUCUUGGUCACAAUAAUGUCAUUAGUUUCUACAUUUUUAUUUUCUGGCUGUACAUUCACAGCUUAUGUUUCUUUGUGAUGAAUAGAUAUUGGGGAGAAACACCUUUCUAAGAAAGUUGACGUUUGAUUGGCAUUAAUUCCUUAUUUGAAUUCCACCUCCAUCAUAUAGGUCCUUCUAGAACUCUGACCCCAUUAAUGAAAUACAGGAGCAUAGUCCUUGUGAUACCUUCCUUUUUUCAUAAUCAAAUGCAAUUUGUUCAGGAAAUCUGCACAAAUCCGGAACAGAAUGACUGAAAU